ACGAACGCUGGCGGCGUGCUUAACCCAUGCAAGUCGAACGGAAAGGCCCUGCUUUUGUGGGGUGCUCGAGUGGCGAACGGGUGAGUAACACGUGAGUAACCUGCCCUUGACUUUGGGAUAACUUCAGGAAACUGGGGCUAAUACCGGAUAGGAGCUCCUGCUGCAUGGUGGGGGUUGGAAAGUUUCGGCGGUUGGGGUUGGACUCGCGGCUUAUCAGCUUGUUGGUGGGGUAGUGGCUUACCAAGGCUUUGACGGGUAGCCGGCCUGAGAGGGUGACCGGCCACAUUGGGACUGAGAUACGGCCCAGACUCCUACGGGAGGCAGCAGUGGGGAAUAUUGCACAAUGGGCGGAAGCCUGAUGCAGCAACGCCGCGUGCGGGAUGACGGCCUUCGGGUUGUAAACCGCUUUCGCCUGUGACGAAGCGUGAGUGACGGUAAUGGGUAAAGAAGCACCGGCUAACUACGUG
This 467-nucleotide ribosomal RNA is filed under the name uncultured bacterium. Its description in RNAcentral is "partial 16S ribosomal RNA". It matches the Rfam family "Bacterial small subunit ribosomal RNA", at positions 29 to 507 of the family's 1533-position model. The record is from RNAcentral.